GAUGAAGAACGUAGCGAAGUGCGAUAAGUAGUGUGAAUUGCAGAAUUUCGUGAAUCAUCGAAUCUUUGAACGCACAUUGCGCCCCAUGGUAUUCCGUGGGGCAUGCCUGUUCGAGCGUCAUUUACCCCCUCAAGCUCCGCUUGGUGUUGGGCGUCUGUCCCGCUUCGCGCGCGGACUCGCCCCAAAGGUAUUGGCAGCGGUCGUGCCAGCUUCUCGCGCAGCACAUUGCGCUUCUCGAGGCACCGGUGGGCCCGCGUCCAUCAAGCUCACCCCCCCAGUUUGACCUCGGAUCAGGUAGGGAUACCCGCUGAACUUAAGCAUAUCAAUAAGCGGAGGA
This 337-nucleotide unclassified non-coding RNA is filed under the name soil metagenome. RNAcentral describes it as "partial contains 5.8S ribosomal RNA, internal transcribed spacer 2, and large subunit ribosomal RNA". The stretch from base 1 to 120 matches the Rfam family "5.8S ribosomal RNA", at positions 35 to 154 of the family's 154-position model. The record is from RNAcentral.